RNAcentral lists this ribosomal RNA (497 nucleotides) under uncultured bacterium. RNAcentral describes it as "partial 16S ribosomal RNA". It matches the Rfam family "Bacterial small subunit ribosomal RNA", at positions 28 to 507 of the family's 1533-position model. The record is from RNAcentral.
GAUGAACGCUGGCGGCGUGCCUAAUACAUGCAAGUCGAGCGAACGGACGAGAAGCUUGCUUCUCUGAUGUUAGCGGCGGACGGGUGAGUAACACGUGGAUAACCUACCUAUAAGACUGGGAUAACUUCGGGGAACCGUAGCUAAUACCGGAUAAUAUUUUGAACCGCAUGGUUCAAAAGUGAAAGACGGUUUUGCUGUCACUUAUAGAUGGAUCCGCGCUGCAUUAGCUAGUUGGUAAGGUAACGGCUUACCAAGGCAACGAUGCAUAGCCGACCUGAGAGGGUGAUCGGCCACACUGGAACUGAGACACGGUCCAGACUCCUACGGGAGGCAGCAGUAGGGAAUCUUCCGCAAUGGGCGAAAGCCUGACGGAGCAACGCCGCGUGAGUGAUGAAGGUCUUCGGAUCGUAAAACUCUGUUAUUAGGGAAGAACAAAUGUGUAAGUAACUGUGCACAUCUUGACGGUACCUAAUCAGAAAGCCACGGCUAACUACGUG